UAACACGUAGUCCCCCUUUCCAGGGGACGUGGAUAACCUCGGGAAACUGAGAUUAAACCGCGAUAGGUCAAGAUUUCUGGAAUGGAUCCUGGCUUAAAUCUACAUGGCCCCUGGAUUGGACUGCGGCCGAUCAGGCUGUUGGUGAGGUAAUGGCCCACCAAACCUAUAACCGGUACGGGCUCUGAGAGGAGAAGCCCGGAGAUGGGCACUGAGACAAGGGCCCAGGCCCUAUGGGGCGCAGCAGGCGCGAAAACUCUGCAAUGGGCGAAAGCCUGACAGGGUUACUCUGAGUGAUUUCCGCUAAGGAGAUCUUUUGGCAGCUCUAAAAAUGGUGCAGAAUAAGGGGUGGGCAAGUCUGGUGUCAGCCGCCGCGGUAAUACCAGCACCCCGAGUGGUCGGGACGAUUAUUGGGCCUAAAGCAUCCGUAGCCGGUUGUGCAAGUCCUCCGUUAAAUCCAGCCGCUCAACGGAUGGGCUGCGGAGGAUACUACAGAACUAGGAGGCGGGAGAGGCAAGCGGUACUUAGUGGGUAGGGGUAAAAUCCUUUGAUCCAUUGAAGA
RNAcentral lists this ribosomal RNA (559 nucleotides) under uncultured archaeon. Its description in RNAcentral is "bacterial SSU rRNA". It matches the Rfam family "Archaeal small subunit ribosomal RNA", at positions 94 to 656 of the family's 1478-position model. The record is from RNAcentral.